GGCGAGCCUGAUCAGCCAUGCCGCGUGAAUGAUGAAGGCCUUAGGGUUGUAAAAUUCUUUCAGCAGGGAAGAUAAUGACGGUACCUGCAGAAGAAGCCCCGGCUAACUCCGUGCCAGCAGCCGCGGUAAUACGGAGGGGGCUAGCGUUGUUCGGAAUUACUGGGCGUAAAGCGCUCGUAGGCGGAUUGGUCAGUCAGGGGUGAAAGCCCGGAGCUCAACUCCGGAACUGCCUUUGAUACUGCCAGUCUUGAGUUCGGGAGAGGUGAGCGGAAUACCGAGUGUAGAGGUGAAAUUCGUAGAUAUUCGGUGGAACACCAGAGGCGAAGGCGGCUCACUGGACCGAUACUGACGCUGAGGAGCGAAAGCGUGGGGAGCAAACAGGAUUAGAUACCCUGGUAGUCCACGCCGUAAACGAUGAGAGCUAGUUGUCUGGCAGCAUGCUGUUAGGUGACGCAGCUAACGCAUUAAGCUCUCCGCCUGGGGAGUACGGCCGCAAGGUUAAAACUCAAAUG
Molecule: ribosomal RNA, 512 nt
Filed under: Maricaulis sp.
Lineage: Bacteria; Pseudomonadati; Pseudomonadota; Alphaproteobacteria; Maricaulales; Maricaulaceae
Description: bacterial SSU rRNA
Rfam family: Bacterial small subunit ribosomal RNA
Source: RNAcentral